UUCACUUCCUUCCCGUGCAUGUCCAGCUGAGCUUUGAAAGUUGCUCAGUAGAUUCCACAGAAUCACAAAAUUGUAGGAGCUGGAAAGGACCUCCAGAGAUCAUCAAAAUAAGCUCAGUGUAGCAUGAUUCAUAGCGUACUGUUGAUACCCUGCACCUUCUGCUUAAAAUAAGGACUCCUUCCAAUUAUGAAAAAUAUCAUAUUAAUUGAGCUACAUUUUGCAUGAUUAUUCCCUGGGAAGAUGAGAACUUCUUGCUUCACUGUACCGUAAGAAUUCAUCUGGAACAGAUCCAAUUAGGAGUGACUUUAUGGUUGGUCCAAUGGACACUCACAUAGGAACAGAAAGAAGACUAUAUGCAAGUUUCUCAGGACCUAUGGAACAAAUAAGAGGUUGCAGGUGGAAGUUUCCUGGAUUGCAUCAUUACCAGUGAUGACAUGUGGUGUCACCCCUAAGAGCUGGAGUCAAAACAGUAGUCCAUGAAGUGCCAGCACGUGAAUUCCCAUCAAGAAAAAAAGUACAAGAGUCAACCUCAGCAGGUCCCUCUGGAUGGCUUCCCUUCC
RNAcentral lists this long non-coding RNA (560 nucleotides) under Gallus gallus (chicken). Its description in RNAcentral is "lncRNA (ENSGALG00010001014.1)". Lineage: Eukaryota; Metazoa; Chordata; Aves; Galliformes; Phasianidae. The record is from RNAcentral.